UAAAACCGAGGGCCACCAGUGGAAAGACACCACAGUUUCGUCCCUCUCUAUUUAUGAGCACAGCUAGUCGCCAAAGAUCAUACGCAGUCGCCGGAGUGCUCUCACGUCUACUCUCGAUCCUCUCGACGGAUUGAGAUGGUACCUACGGAAAAUUGUUGUGGUGGAGGAUAGCCAAUAAUAUGAUGCAAGGGCUAGCGAUUUUUGUUGAAUGUAAAGUCUCAAGAUGAAGUUCGGGAAGGAGGUCUCAUGAUAGGAUUAUGGUUGAUCGUAGGUGUGGGAAGACAACUUCAGUUAAAAUCCUUUACAAUUCUAUUUUUGGAAAUUUCAAAGGUUCCACUUUUUUCUCAAUUGUUUUAAAGGUUUUAGAGCUUUCAAAAACUGGAAUUUGGUUCGUUUGCAAGAAAAAUUGCGAUCUACUCAACCCUGUCCUUACCCAUCAACUGAAGUCAUGCACUUGUAGGGUCCCAUUCUCGUCCCUUUAUCAAGAUCACCGAAUGAGAUCAUCUACUCCACUAGCUGCUUCAAGAUCACACCUAUCAGAGACACAACAGUUGAAAAAAAUAAUGUGGAGAAAAAUCUCCUUCUCAUCGUUAUUCAACCAUCAUAGCUUAUUUUAUAGUCAGAGCUUAUGGUGAAUUUAUUCAGUUUAAUGUUCUCUCCUAGCACAGAAGGCAGAACCCAACACCUCCGAUGCUAAAGAAAGGACAGCUCUAUCAACAGGAUCUCUCCUUAUUACUAUGUUUCUCUUCCAGAAGCAUACUUCUUAAAGAGUUCACGAUCCUCUAGAGCCAUAGCUUUUAUGUUGUCGAUGCUGAUCAAUUCUCUUGCCGAAGCUCCAGCUGAAGCUUCUAUAUUAUCCAAACCAUCAAGAAUAAGGAGAACUCUUUUGCAACAAAAUCUCUCUUCUAUUUAGCUAAUUCCCCAGCAACACUGCUCACAGUUGCUUCUUUUGUCAUUAAUAUAUGAGAUGGCAAUUUUCCUUGCAAAUGAACAAAGUUUCAGAAGUCUCUCGAAGUUUGUUUGAUGCCAUCAAGAAAAGUAGAAUUUUUAAAAUUUCUAAAAAUAGAGUUAUAAAGCAUUUUAGCUAAAGUUGUCUUUCCCAUACCUCCCAUCGCCCAUAAUCCAAUGGGGAGACCUUCAUCCUGAACUUCGGUCCUGACACUUCAUAUUCAACAUUAAUUUCAGCUUCCCCAUUCUCACUCUAUAUAGAUAUAUUGGGCAGAAGAAGCUUGCUUCCAUGGUGAUGAAAGCUAUUGCAACUCCAAACAGGGCUUAGCAAAAGCCAAAUCAUUAUCUUCUUGUCGGAGAAUUUAUUCUAUGUGAAAGGGUGUAGAUGCCUUGAAGUUGGAACAGUCAUUCACAGUCCAUCUACACUCACCUCUUCCUCCUCUUUUCAUUAAGUUUACUCUGAGGUAUGCUACUAUCUACAUUACAACUUCAGGUUGAUUUGAUUUCUCUUUCUUAGAUUUAGUUAAUACUCAGUUGUGAUUCUGCUUCUUAAAAGGAAACUGAUCCUUUGGACCCAAAUUCAGGAAAGUCUGAUGUUUCUUCAUGUUUUCUAGUAGUGUACCUUUUUGUAUCGUUUUGCCGUUUCUAGGAGACUAGCAUAAAUUGAUUUCGUAGUCUGCAAAUUCAAAAUUAAUGAAUGAGCGCCUUUGAAAGUCAAAGUUAUGUGCCUCUUUUAAACAAGAAAUUCAGCAUAAGCAGUGAAUCACAAACUUGGAAAAAAAAACUCAUCGACCUAAUGAAUCAAGUAGAACUCAGACCUGAAUUUCAAGUACUAUAGUUUUGUUAUUAUGUCACCUUAAGUUUCCUUUGUGUUUUCUCUAGGGUCAUGAAGGUUCAUCUGCAGGCAAUAUCUAAGUCUAGAUGUGUUCCAUAUGUUAAACCAGUGAUGACAAGGUACUAGGUAGUUUUAACAUGGUAGAUUCUGUCCAUCACAUUGAAACUAAACAGUGAGAUUCAAACUCGCUUCCACUAGAAAAACAAACUUUCCUACAAUUUAUGUGUUGUACCUGUUUUUGUUCAACACAAGGAUGAGUCUGUGGUUCUUGAGAGGCAUCGUGCGUCCCGGAAUGUUGAGCUCCAUUGCAUUUUCAAUCAACAGUAAAAGAUUGUAAAGGCAUAUUUGGGACCAUAGAAUUACCCCAUGAUGGAUUUUUGUAAUCGGAUUACUGAAUUUCGAUUCAAUGCACAGUGCUAAUAAGUAUCUAUUUCUUGAUA
Molecule: long non-coding RNA, 2223 nt
Organism: Eucalyptus grandis
Lineage: Eukaryota; Viridiplantae; Streptophyta; Magnoliopsida; Myrtales; Myrtaceae
Exons: 2
Source: RefSeq, a predicted model, not a curated record